CUGCUGAGAAGAGAGCUGCUAAUUAAACAUCUGAGAAUGUGAAGGAGCUAGGUCAUGGUCACACAGAAAGGUUCUUGAAUCAGGCCUGGAGAAUCCCCUGUCCUCUUCCCUCUCAAGUGGAGUCACAGUGGGUUUGGGGCUUGGAUGCCCAGUUGAAGAAGGUGAGACUUUAGGCAGGCCAACCCAAGGAACCACGUAUUUCUGGCCAUGUCCUUCUAACUCCUGGGUCAGGAGGAGCCCCCUACCCCCGUCUCCAACCCAUAUUCAGUUCAAUUCAAUCAGCAUUUCCUAGGUAACCCUCAUGUGCCAUGCACUGUGCCAAGUGAUACAGACAUGACCAAGACCCCAUUCUUGCUUGGAGUUGCUCACAGUCUAAUGAAAGAACUUGCUUAUGGAGCCUCUUCGCAGGCCUUUGAAGCCACCCUGGCACUGACCUAAUGAUGGAGUGGGUGGAAAGGUGGCAUUGGAGGCUUGCCCAAAGACAUUGCUAAGGCUGCCUGCCGGGCUGCAGUGGAUGCAGUCUCAGGCCACUGCCAGUUGAUGUCCCAGACUGAGGCCAACCAGAAACUUGGAGGGUUUUGCAUGGACUAUGUGGGUAGAAAACCCAAGUGACUAUUAUUUUUCUAUGACGCUGUAGUGACCAGGGGCAUCUAUGGAUGGUGAGAUUGCUACUGUCCACCCAACCCCCCCACUGAGGAGCUAGAUGGAGCACCCUGAGUUGCUGCAGACAGGACAGCAGAAAAGCUGCCCUUCACUCCAUGGAAGCAGGCAUCCUUCUUAGAGACACCAGGGGAGCUGUUGGAUGUGUUGGGGGAUCAGGAAGUGGAGCCCCCUCCCUCAGCCCUCAACCUCUCUGUAGGAAAAAUGGAGGGCCGAGUAAGAGACCCCUGGAAUUGUUCUUUAUUUCCUAGACCUCUACCCCAACCCUUUAACCCCCACUCCAGCUUUCCGGCCCCUUAGCCAUCUUUGUCCCAUACGCUUCAGUCAAAGGAGAUGCUAGAAAGGUGAAGAGGCUGGCUCAGGGGUUGCUCAGUCGUGUCCAACUCUUUGCGACCCCAUGGACCGUAGCCUACCAGGCUCCUCCCUCCAUGGGAUUCUCCAGGAAAGAGUACUGGAGCGGAUUGCCAUUUCCCUCUCCAGGGGAUCUUCCUGACCUGGGUCUCCCUCAUUCCAGGCAGAGGCUUUAACUUCUGAACCACCAGGGAAGGGGGGCAGAGCCAAAGCCUGAGAGGGGAGAGGGUGGAGGACUGGACGUUCCAGCCAGAGACGGGUCCUCACACUGCAGGGGGUUCCACUCCUUCCCCACCUUCCCAUUCCCUCUGAGACGCUGGGUCUGACCACAGCUUUUGAGCUUUAAGCUACCCCUUCACUCCCAGUAUCCUUCCAGUGUGAAUCCCACUCCUCCCAAUACCCCAGAUUCCUACAGCAUUUGUUUAUCUUGUCUUUUUGUAGUGAUUUUUUUCCCACACCGUAGUAGGAAUUUUAUGAAGGUAUAAUAAAU
Molecule: long non-coding RNA, 1501 nt
Organism: Bos taurus (domestic cattle)
Lineage: Eukaryota; Metazoa; Chordata; Mammalia; Artiodactyla; Bovidae
Source: Ensembl